AUUGAACGCUGGCGGCAUGCUUUACACAUGCAAGUCGAACGGCAGCGGGGGCUUCGGCCUGCCGGCGAGUGGCGAACGGGUGAGUAAUGCAUCGGAACGUGCCCAGUCAUGGGGGAUAACUACGCGAAAGCGUAGCUAAUACCGCAUACGCCCUGAGGGGGAAAGCGGGGGAUCGCAAGACCUCGCGUGAUUGGAGCGGCCGAUGUCGGAUUAGCUAGUUGGUGGGUAAAGGCCUACCAAGGCGACGAUCCGUAGCGGGUCUGAGAGGAUGAUCCGCCACACUGGGACUGAGACACGGCCCAGACUCCUACGGGAGGCAGCAGUGGGGAAUUUUGGACAAUGGGGGCAACCCUGAUCCAGCCAUGCCGCGUGAGUGAAGAAGGCCUCGGUUGUAAG
Molecule: ribosomal RNA, 396 nt
Filed under: uncultured bacterium
Lineage: Bacteria
Description: bacterial SSU rRNA
Rfam family: Bacterial small subunit ribosomal RNA
Source: RNAcentral